CGGCGACGGGUGAGUAAUGCCUAGGAAUCCUGCCUGGUAUGGGGGACAACGUUUCGAAAGGAACGCUAAUACCGCAUACGUCCUACGGGAGAAAGCAGGGACCUUCGGGCCUUGCGCUAUCAGAUGAGCCUAGGUCGGAUUAGCUAGUUGGUGAGGUAAUGGCUCACCAAGGCGACGAUCCGUAACUGGUCUGAGAGGAUGAUCAGUCACACUGGAACUGAGACACGGUCCAGACUCCUACGGGAGGCAGCAGAG
RNAcentral lists this ribosomal RNA (255 nucleotides) under uncultured Pseudomonas sp. Its description in RNAcentral is "partial 16S ribosomal RNA". It matches the Rfam family "Bacterial small subunit ribosomal RNA", at positions 96 to 354 of the family's 1533-position model. The record is from RNAcentral. Lineage: Bacteria; Pseudomonadati; Pseudomonadota; Gammaproteobacteria; Pseudomonadales; Pseudomonadaceae.